This 1295-nucleotide ribosomal RNA is filed under the name Campylobacter jejuni. RNAcentral describes it as "partial 23S ribosomal RNA". It matches the Rfam family "Bacterial large subunit ribosomal RNA", at positions 1 to 1224 of the family's 2925-position model. Lineage: Bacteria; Pseudomonadati; Campylobacterota; Epsilonproteobacteria; Campylobacterales; Campylobacteraceae. The record is from RNAcentral.
AGGUAAGCUACUAAGAGCGAAUGGUGGAUGCCUUGACUGGUAAAGGCGAUGAAGGACGUACUAGACUGCGAUAAGCUACGGGGAGCUGUCAAGAAGCUUUGAUCCGUAGAUUUCCGAAUGGGGCAACCCAAUGUAUAGAGAUAUACAUUACCUAUAUAGGAGCGAACGAGGGGAAUUGAAACAUCUUAGUACCCUCAGGAAAAGAAAUCAAUAGAGAUUGCGUCAGUAGCGGCGAGCGAAAGCGCAAGAGGGCAAACCCAGUGCUUGCACUGGGGGUUGUAGGACUGCAAUGUGCAAGAGCUGAGUUUAGCAGAACAUUCUGGAAAGUAUAGCCAUAGAGGGUGAUAGUCCCGUAUGCGAAAAACAAAGCUUAGCUAGCAGUAUCCUGAGUAGGGCGGGACACGAGGAAUCCUGUCUGAAUCCGGGUCGACCACGAUCCAACCCUAAAUACUAAUACCAGAUCGAUAGUGCACAAGUACCGUGAGGGAAAGGUGAAAAGAACUGAGGUGAUCAGAGUGAAAUAGAACCUGAAACCAUUUGCUUACAAUCAUUCAGAGCACUAUGUAGCAAUACAGUGUGAUGGACUGCCUUUUGCAUAAUGAGCCUGCGAGUUGUGGUGUCUGGCAAGGUUAAGCAAACGCGAAGCCGUAGCGAAAGCGAGUCUGAAUAGGGCGCUUAGUCAGAUGCUGCAGACCCGAAACGAAGUGAUCUAUCCAUGAGCAAGUUGAAGCUAGUGUAAGAACUAGUGGAGGACUGAACCCAUAGGCGUUGAAAAGCCCCGGGAUGACUUGUGGAUAGGGGUGAAAGGCCAAUCAAACUUCGUGAUAGCUGGUUCUCUCCGAAAUAUAUUUAGGUAUAGCGUUGUGUCGUAAUAUAAGGGGGUAGAGCACUGAAUGGGCUAGGGCAUACACCAAUGUACCAAACCCUAUCAAACUCCGAAUACCUUAUAUGUAAUCACAGCAGUCAGGCGGCGAGUGAUAAAAUCCGUCGUCAAGAGGGAAACAACCCAGACUACCAGCUAAGGUCCCUAAAUCUUACUUAAGUGGAAAACGAUGUGAAGUUACUUAAACAACCAGGAGGUUGGCUUAGAAGCAGCCAUCCUUUAAAGAAAGCGUAAUAGCUCACUGGUCUAGUGAUUUUGCGCGGAAAAUAUAACGGGGCUAAAGUAAGUACCGAAGCUGUAGACUUGCACACAACUUAGAUUAUUUAAGUUUAGAAUAUGAGAAACUAAGUUAUAUGUUUAGUUAUAUUUUUACUGAUUUUUAUAGAGUAAAGAUAGAAAUAAAACUUAGUAA